CAAAUGAAGUUGACGGGGCCCGCACAAGCGGUGGAGCAUGUGGUUUAAUUCGAAGCAACGCGAAGAACCUUACCAGGUCUUGACAUCCCCUGACAACCGAGAGAUCGGGCGUUCCCCCUUCGGGGGACAGGGUGACAGGUGGUGCAUGGUUGUCGUCAGCUCGUGUCGUGAGAUGUUGGGUUAAGUCCCGCAACGAGCGCAACCCUCGACCUUAGUUGCCAGCAUUCAGUUGGGCACUCUAAGGUGACUGCCGGCUAAAAGUCGGAGGAAGGUGGGGAUGACGUCAAAUCAUCAUGCCCCUUAUGACCUGGGCUACACACGUGCUACAAUGGGCGGUACAAAGGGUCGCGAACCCGCGAGGGGGAGCCAAUCCCAUAAAGCCAGUCGUAGUCCGGAUCGUAGUCUGCAACUCGACUACGUGAAGUCGGAAUCGCUAGUAAUCGUGGAUCAGAAUGUCACGGUGAAUACGUUCCCGGGUCUU
Molecule: ribosomal RNA, 481 nt
Filed under: uncultured Anoxybacillus sp.
Lineage: Bacteria; Bacillati; Bacillota; Bacilli; Caryophanales; Anoxybacillaceae
Description: bacterial SSU rRNA
Rfam family: Bacterial small subunit ribosomal RNA
Source: RNAcentral